Molecule: ribosomal RNA, 253 nt
Filed under: uncultured bacterium
Lineage: Bacteria
Description: partial 16S ribosomal RNA
Rfam family: Bacterial small subunit ribosomal RNA
Source: RNAcentral
UACGAAGGGGGCUAGCGUUGUUCGGAAUCACUGGGCGUAAAGGGCGCGUAGGCGGCCGUUCAAGUCGGGGGUGAAAGCCUGUGGCUCAACCACAGAAUUGCCUUCGAUACUGGAUGGCCCGAGACCGGAAGAGGUAAGUGGAACUGCGAGUGUAGAGGUGAAAUGCGUAGAUAUUCGCAAGAACACCAGUGGCGAAGGCGGCUUACUGGUCCGGUUCUGACGCUGAGGCGCGAAAGCGUGGGGAGCGAACGGG